GUGCUAGAGGUGUUAGGGGGUGCCUUUGGGUGCUGUAGGGGCUAUAUGGGACUUGUUUUGGGGUGUUAGAGGUGCUGUGGGGUGCCUUUGGGUGCUGUGUAGGGGCUAUAUGGACCUUGUUUUGGGGUGUUAGAGGUGCUGUGGGGUGCCUUUGGGUGCUGUAGGGGCUAUAUGGACCUUGUUUUGGGGUGUUAGAGGUGUUAGGGGGUGCCUUUGGGUGCUGUGUAGGGGCUAUAUGGACCUUGUUUUGGGGUGCUAGAGGUGCUGUGGGGUGCCUUUGGGUGCUGUGUAGGGGCUAUAUGGGACUUGUUAUUGGGUGCUAGAGGUGCUGUGGGGUGCCUUUGGGUGCUAUAGGGGGCAUAUGGGCCUUGUUAUUGGGUGCUAGAGGU
Molecule: long non-coding RNA, 389 nt
Filed under: Cairina moschata (Muscovy duck)
Lineage: Eukaryota; Metazoa; Chordata; Aves; Anseriformes; Anatidae
Description: domestica (muscovy Duck (domestic type)) lncRNA (ENSCMMG00000010678.1)
Source: RNAcentral